This is a long non-coding RNA of Cercocebus atys (sooty mangabey), 809 nucleotides long. RefSeq lists it as uncharacterized. The transcript is spliced from 2 exons. The record is from RefSeq and is a predicted model, not a curated record. NCBI's taxonomy places the organism in Eukaryota, Metazoa, Chordata, Mammalia, Primates, Cercopithecidae.
UGGUGACAUGCUUAGGAAACCAUCAUCCUGAUAUUGUCUAACUCUCCUUCUGUUGUCUUUUGGUCCUCUGUGAUUUAGGUUUUCAACACAUAGGGUAAGGGGCCCACGUACAAGCUGUGGGCUCCUGUCCCAGGUGGGCAAGCAGACUGCACACACAGGCAGCAAUUUACCAGGAGGCUUCUUGGGUGGGGUGAAGUGGAGCUGCCAAAAAUUUAUUCCGCCCUAUGAGAGUUCACUUGAUUGAUAGGUGUUGUGUUUCUCAAAAAUAGAAGAAACUCACAGAAGUUUCCUUGGAGCAGAACAUAAAUCUGUCCCAUAAAUGGCUAGAAGGAAUCAUCCUGUCCCCCUGAGGUCAGGAGGGUGAGUCUGUGCCCCAGGGAGGAAAGCACCUUCCUGCUUUAGACACCAGCAGGAGGACAGAGGAGCUGGCCGUCCUGGGAAUUCUUGCCCGCAUUCAGCAAUGGGAAAGUAGUUAGACCAGGGAAGGGGGCCUGGCAGUGUGGCAGGGGGAGCAGUGGUAAAGAGGGUGGGGUCAGGGGAGAGGCCUCAUUCAGAGGGGAGAGGGUCCUUGGUGAGAACCAGGGUGGGUGUGGAGGGAAGAGUCAGGGCGUGGAGCGGAGCAGAGCGGGAGUUGGGGUGGGGAGGCCAGUUCAUGCCUCAUCAACAUGCCUGUGUGAGUGUCCUUCCUGUGGGCUGUGGGGCUGGCCUCAGGGUACACUGCAGGUGACUCAGAGCUCCAGUGGGAGGGUGGCUCUGCCUGAGGGAGCUGCACAUGCUCAUUGGUCUAUCGUCUGCUAGGGAGGGGGCGA